UACGUAGGGGGCGAGCGUUGCCCGGAUUUAUUGGGCGUAAAGGGCGCGUAGGCGGUCACGCACGUCCGUUGUGAAAGCCCUUGGCUCAACUGAGGAAGUGCAUCCGAAACUGGCAGGCUAGAGUACUAAAGAGGAUCGCGGAAUUCCCGGUGUAGAGGUGAAAUUCGUAGAUAUCGGGAGGAACACCGGUGGCGAAGGCGGCGAUCUGGGUAGAUACUGACGCUGAGGUGCGAAAGCGUGGGGAGCAAACAGG
RNAcentral lists this ribosomal RNA (253 nucleotides) under uncultured bacterium. RNAcentral describes it as "partial 16S ribosomal RNA". It matches the Rfam family "Bacterial small subunit ribosomal RNA", at positions 524 to 776 of the family's 1533-position model. The record is from RNAcentral.